Molecule: small nuclear RNA, 203 nt
Filed under: Exophiala mesophila
Lineage: Eukaryota; Fungi; Ascomycota; Eurotiomycetes; Chaetothyriales; Herpotrichiellaceae
Description: U4 spliceosomal RNA
Rfam family: U4 spliceosomal RNA
About the family: U4 small nuclear RNA (U4 snRNA) is a component of the major U2-dependent spliceosome. The structure of U4 snRNA from yeast and human has been reported.
Source: Rfam by way of RNAcentral
GAAAAGGUGCAAGGGCAUACGCAUAUCAGUGAGGAUUCGUCCGAGAUUGUGUUAUUGCUAGUUGAAAACUAUACGUAAGUUCAUCUCCUGAGAUACCCUCCUCCACAUUGUCACUGACUCGAAUCUAGUUUUGACUGCUUCAAUUGGUCUUCGGAUCGGUUGGGAAUAUUUGGAACACUUGUCUUUCUCUCUUAGAGCAAAGG